Molecule: ribosomal RNA, 253 nt
Filed under: uncultured bacterium
Lineage: Bacteria
Description: partial 16S ribosomal RNA
Rfam family: Bacterial small subunit ribosomal RNA
Source: RNAcentral
UACGUAGGGGGCAAGCGUUGUCCGGAAUCAUUGGGCGUAAAGAGCGUGUAGGCGGCCCGAUAAGUCCGCUGUGAAAGUCCAGGGCUCAACCCUGGGAUGCCGGUGGAUACUGUCGGGCUCGAGUCCGGAAGAGGAGUGUGGAAUUCCUGGUGUAGCGGUGAAAUGCGCAGAUAUCAAGAGGAACACCAAUGGCGAAGGCAGCACUCUAAAACGUGACUGACGCUGAGACGCGAAAGCGUGAAAAGCAAACAGG